GACAGAGGGUGCAAACGUUGUUCGGAAUUACUGGGCGUAAAGCGCGUGUAGGUGGCAAGGUAAGUCGGGUGUGAAAGCCCUGGGCUCAACCCAGGAAGUGCAUUCGAUACUACCUCGCUAGAGUCCCGGAGAGGUUGGUGGAACUCUCGGUGUAGAGGUGAAAUUCGUAGAUAUCGAGAAGAACACCGGUGGCGAAGGCGGCCAACUGGACGGUGACUGACACUGAGACGCGAAAGCGUGGGGAGCAAACAGG
This 253-nucleotide ribosomal RNA is filed under the name uncultured bacterium. RNAcentral's name for it is "partial 16S ribosomal RNA". It matches the Rfam family "Bacterial small subunit ribosomal RNA", at positions 524 to 776 of the family's 1533-position model. The record is from RNAcentral.